AGUGAACGCUGGCGGCAGGCCUAAUACAUGCAAGUCGAACGGCAGCACAGCAGAGCUUGCUCUGUGGGUGGCGAGUGGCGGACGGGUGAGGAAUACAUGGGAAUCUGCCCAGUCGUGGGGGAUAACGUAGGGAAACUUACGCUAAUACCGCAUGCGCCCUUCGGGGGAAAGCCGGGGACCUUCGGGCCUGGCGCGAUUGGAUGAGCCCAUGUCGGAUUAGCUAGUUGGCGGGGUAAAGGCCCACCAAGGCGACGAUCCGUAGCGGGUCUGAGAGGAUGAUCCGCCACACUGGGACUGAGACACGGCCCAGACUCCUACGGGAGGCAGCAGUGGGGAAUUUUGGACAAUGGGCGCAAGCCUGAUCCAGCCAUGCCGCGUGAGUGAAGAAGGCCUUCGGGUUGUAAAGCUCUGUCUGGAGGGACGAAGGAAGUGACGGUACCUCCGGAGGAAGCCACGGCUAACUACGUGCCAGCAGCCGCGGUAAUAUCACGU
RNAcentral lists this ribosomal RNA (492 nucleotides) under uncultured bacterium. RNAcentral's name for it is "bacterial SSU rRNA". It matches the Rfam family "Bacterial small subunit ribosomal RNA", at positions 30 to 528 of the family's 1533-position model. The record is from RNAcentral.